This is a long non-coding RNA of Myiozetetes cayanensis, 4301 nucleotides long. RefSeq lists it as uncharacterized. The record is from RefSeq and is a predicted model, not a curated record. The transcript is spliced from 4 exons. NCBI's taxonomy places the organism in Eukaryota, Metazoa, Chordata, Aves, Passeriformes, Tyrannidae.
GCUCUGCCUGGCGGGAGAAGGUGGGAUCCUGCAUGGGGUUCUGCUGCCCUCGAACACCCCGGGCACGUUCAGGUGCUGAGGACUGCUGCAUACAGGCGUUGUGAAACGGGAGAGCGACCACCACACCCUCAAAACGGACUUAAAUACCAUCAGUGGGAACUCUGUAGACCCUGCGUGGCACCUAGCUGCCCACCAGCAAUAACUGCAGAAAUGGAGGUGUCCUGACCCUGAGACCUUGUUGUCUUGACCUGCAAUCCUGACCUGCAUUUCUCAAUUUAAUGUCCAAGUGCAUUAAACUGAAUGCCCCUCAUGGCAUCUGUCAGCUUCUGUCUAGCAAGAAACUCAGAGUUGGGCCUGUUCAGCAUUGAGAAGACACAACUGAGAGGGCACCUCAUCAAUGUCUAUCAGUAUCUGAUGGGAGGAUGUCAGGGAUGGAGCCAGGUUCUGCUUGGUGAUGCUGAGCAAUAGGACAAGAGACUAUGGGCAGAACCUGAUGCACAGGAAACUCCACCUGGAUAUGAGGAAGAAAUUCUCUACUGUGCAGGUGACCAUGCACUGGAAUGGGUUGCCCAGAGAGGUUAUGGAGUCUCCCUUACUGGAGAUAUUCAAGAAUCUUCUGGAUGCAAUCCUGUGACACGUGGUCUAGGAUGGCCCUGCUUGAGCAGGAAGGUUGGACCAAACGACCCACUGUGUUCCCUUCCAACCUGACCCGUUCUGUGAUUCUGUGAAUAUAUUGAGGUGUGGAAAUACAUAGGUCAGAAAAAGAACACUAAACACUAUACUGACAUAUGAAGGUAAAAGUUGCACCCUUUAACAGUUGAAAUCUAUUGGAACCACAUACACUAAAAUACCUCAGCCCCAAUAAAAUUUUGUGAAUAGUUACACAUCCCUCUAAUGUCCCUGAAAAUAUCAAUAUAGCUUUUAAAUCUUAGUCCUACUGGAUGUAUAAUUUGUCCUGGAACCAAAUUUUUCUUUUACCAUUUCAUUAUAGUUAUUGCUUUAAUGUUGCAUAAAAGGAUAAAGAGUGUUACAUAUCUUCCUCUAUUCUUUGAAUGCUUACCCCAUAGCUGUGUUUUUUUCAUUAGUGCCUUCUUAUUCUUGUUUCAGGAGUUGAGCAAAUUGUGUCCAGUUGUUUUACUUCCCUAAAAUAAUUAUACAAGUUUUAUGGCUCAUUAAUUUACAUGAAGCCCAUUAUUUCUAGUGAAUCUUUAUUCCUAUUAACAGUUAGGGAACCGUUUCUAAAUUUUAACUUCCAAACAUGGAAUUUAUGGUGUUCAAAAAUACACUGAAUUUUUUCGGUCCAAGGAGGUAAAAGGUUAAAAAAGGUGAUGUACCCAGAGAUCUUAAGUUAUUUUUUUAACAUACAAGUUAUUUUUUUAACAUACUCUGAUGUAACAUUCAGCCUCCUAUCUGGGAGUUAAUUAUCUCGGGGCAUAAAGACUUAGAUAAAGCAGGCAAUGUGUAAUCUAUUAGUUGGGGCGUUCGGUCAGGAAUUUGCUCUCACAUUCAGGAGCUCAUCUGCGUUACUGACAGUGGGGUUCUUCCCCACUAGGUGGUGAUACAGGAGCAGCUCCGGGUUCUCUCUUUGAAUGGAAUCCCCACUCAUGAAUAGUCUCUAAGACCUAAGAGAACAAUUAAAAGUAAUUUCAAGCAAACUUCUUUCCUGUUUUGUAGAAAGCAAGGUCUCCAGUAAGAUUAUAAAGACGGACAAACUUUACAAAGAGAGAGGAAGUAUUUGAGUCACUCAGUGAAGAUAAAUAUGUGUGGUGAUAACAGUAAUAUGCAAAACCUAUUAGGACAGUUUGGAGGAAGAUCUGGUUUAGAAAUUUGACAUUCUAAAUGGUGGCAGUCAUAAUCUUUUGUCCAACUCAAAAAGAGUGGUUUAUUUUAGCACAAAGCAACCCAUCAAUCCACACGCCAUGAAUUAUUCUGUGGAGGACCUUAGUUGUAUCAGUUCUGUGGAAUUGCUUUUCAUGUGUAGAAACAGCAGCAAAAGUUGAAGCUGUGAAUAUAUUUAGAAACACAAGUAGUUGUGUCAAAAAUACAUUAUAUAAACAUUAGGCUACUGGAUGUUAUAGAGCUAUGAGAAAGUAAUGCUGCAUAUGAAAAGUAACUGGUAGCAAUUCAAAGCCUCCCAUUUCUUUUUCACUUGUGAAACUUCAGUUUCUUUAAAAUAAACAGGCAAAAUCCUCUUCAGUUGAGCAGUUUUGUAAGUGUGGACUGCUUACAAAAGAAUUGCUCCACAGCUCUUGCUCCAACUCCAAAUUGUAGUUUCCAUGUUUCUCCCUCUGAUCAUGUUAUCUCAGUGCUUACUCUCAAGGCCUGCUACUUCUAAAAGGUGUGAGUUAUCUGAGAUGCCAUGAAACUAUAAGAUGUUGAAAAUAGGAGUGUUGAAUAAUAAAGUUAAUUUGUAUAGCUUUGUUUGUUAAUCAUUAGCAAAAAUUUUUUACACAAAGGCUUACUUAGAUUAGUUAAACAAGUCAAAAAAUAGCCUCAUUCCCUUGACUGAAAAGUUUAAAUUGGGCUUUGCAGUUUUCCAUGUCAGCAACCAAUUUUAUUUUCUGAAAUACUAAGUUGUAAAAACGUCCUGAUGCAAAUUGUUGCUAUUAGAAAUAGGCAGGAAGUGAGACAUUUUAAGGAAUAAGAGAUUUUCCAGUAUGGCAUCUUUUGUUAUGAGUAUGAUUAUUAAAAUCAGAUAUCAGCACAUCCUGGCUGAACCUUCUCAGUUCAGACUUUCCUUGACUUUCUUGACAGGUACCUUGAUAUUGUCCGUCAUUCCAUCCUACUGUAUCCCUUGUGAUUGUUCAAAUGUUCUCUUCACAACACUGAUAGUUAUCUCAUUUUUACAGGCAGUAAAAAGCCUUUUUCUUGAGCAAUCUGUGAGCUUUUUCCUCUACUACUAUUGCCCUGAGUAGGACCAGGGAAUUAUAUCUUCAGCCUGUAUUGUAGAAACACCAAUAGAGUGCAUUAGUGGGUAAAAAAUAAACAAAUUAAACAAAAAUCCCACAGACAUAUUUCAUUAAGGUUGUGGCAUGUAUUUGCUGGAAUUUCUACAUACAAUUUUGUUUUCCUUCUUACCUUGACUGAUAAAAGUACUUGGAUACCAGCAAUUGCAAAAUGAUCCUCUCCACCUUCCUACUCUGGAGGGUCAUUUUUCUAAUGUCCUAUCUGGUUCCCACAGUCAUUUCUGCUUCUAAUCCAAUUUCUGUCUUCAUUUUUGCAACCUACCUUAGUCUUGCAUUUGAAAAAGAGAAUUUCAAGAGACACCUAGACACCCUUCAUUAAAAACAAAUUAAAUUAAUGUUUCCCAGUCUCACUGUUGAAGUAAGGGAUUUUUGGAAUCACAGAUAAUCUGGACUUGAAACAGACAGAUUUAGCUAAGAAAAAUAGUAAAAAAUAAAAAAAAAGAAAGUGUGUCUAGAUUGUACAGCAGGUAGGUUAACAAAAUGGUAAUGCAACAACAUUAAAAAUAGCUAGUGCCGACCAAAGAAGUGAUUUUUCCAUCUUUUAGUUAUGCUUACCACCUGCUGCCAAAUUUAUUUGUGCCAGGAUCUAGCUGACAUUUGAAAGUAUGUUGAGUAUAAUGUAAGAAAUGGUAUAGGAGCAUUCUGUACAUUAAGAGCGAGGGAGAGUUGGAUCAGGGAAGAUCACACGUAAUAGAAAAAUUAAGAGCUGAUGUGUAACUAGAGUGGUCCACAAGAAUUGUGGAAUGUGAUUUGUCUCUAAAAAACCAACUUUAUGCUUUCUUCUUUACUAGUAUUUAUCCAUGGCUCCAUUAUUUGCAUGUUAUAUUGUCAUUUUUAUCAAUUUCCCUGUAGAGAACAUCAGGCUUUCCAGGCUGCAGUUCCAGGUAUACUGGGCAAAUUUUUAUAACAGUAAAUUUAUUUGAUGAUGGCUAUAUUCUGAUACAGGAUUUAUGGAAGAUUUACAGUUAAGGAAAGAAAAAUUAUUUACAGUUUUAUUUUAUAAUAAAGCAGGCAACAUCAUUUUAAUUAAAGUAAUGAAAGGAAUGACACAAAAUUUACAUAGAAAUGCACUGAGAACCAAGACUUAGUCAAAGGCAUUUAGUAGCAAACGUACUAAUUGUGAUAUUUGGAGUUGUGGUUAUGUAUUAUGUAUGCUCUGCUACAGUGUGAUUUGAGUCCUGAAUUUUAAGACUGGCAAAUGUGUGAUGUACCUUCUUUAUGUAUUCUUAAAAAUUCCAUAAAUAAAACUGUGAAUUGAUUGUUCUCAUACAGUGAGAACAAUCUGUUUUCCAUCUACCUGACUAUUUGCAUGAAUGAACAAAUUUCUUUAUCAUG